GACGAACGCUGGCGGCGUGCUUAACACAUGCAAGUCGAACGGAAAGGCCCUGCUUUUGUGGGGUGCUCGAGUGGCGAACGGGUGAGUAACACGUGAGUAACCUGCCCUUGACUGUGGGAUAACUUCAGGAAACUGGGGCUAAUACCGGAUAGGAGCUCCUGCUGCAUGGUGGGGGUUGGAAAGUUUCGGCGGUUGGGGAUGGACUCGCGGCUUAUCAGCUUGAUGGGGGGGUAGUGGCGUACGAAGGCUUUGACGGAUAGCCGGCCUGAGAGGGUGACCGGGCUCAUUAGGCCUGAGAGACGCACCAGACUGGAACGGGAGGCAGCAGGGGGGAGUCUUACACAGUGGGCGGAAGCGUGAGGCAACAGCGCCGCGUGCGGGAUGACGGCUUUCGGGUUAGAAACCGCUUUCGCCUGAGACGAAGCGUGAGUGACGGUACUGGGUAAAGAAGCACCGGCUAACUACGUG
RNAcentral lists this ribosomal RNA (468 nucleotides) under uncultured bacterium. Its description in RNAcentral is "partial 16S ribosomal RNA". It matches the Rfam family "Bacterial small subunit ribosomal RNA", at positions 28 to 507 of the family's 1533-position model. The record is from RNAcentral.